This 325-nucleotide ribosomal RNA is filed under the name uncultured eukaryote. Its description in RNAcentral is "partial 18S ribosomal RNA". It matches the Rfam family "Eukaryotic small subunit ribosomal RNA", at positions 1470 to 1796 of the family's 1831-position model. The record is from RNAcentral.
CCCUUAGAUGUCCUGGGCCGCACGCGCGCUACACUGACAUGUUCAACAAGCCUCCUAGUUCGACAGGAUUUGGGAAAUCUUUGAACGCAUGUCGUGAUAGGGAUAGAUCAUUGCAAUUAUUGAUCUUGAACGAGGAAUUCCUAGUAAACGCGAGUCAUCAGCUCGCAUUGAUUACGUCCCUGCCCUUUGUACACACCGCCCGUCGCUCCUACCGAUUGAAUGAUCCGAUGAAUAUCAUGGAUUGAGGAUGCAAGUAGGUUCGCCUAUCUUCAUCUUCGAGAAGUGAAGUAAAUCUUAUCAUUUAGAGGAAGGAGAAGUCGUAACA